AGCUCCAAUAGCGUAUAUUAAAGUUGUUGCAGUUAAAAAGCUCGUAGUUGGAUUUCUGGUCGAGUGUCCCUAGGCCGACUUGACGUUUGGUCCUAGGCGCUCUGCCAUCCUUCUGUUAACUCUCGCCUCGUUCGUUCGUGGCGUUAGGGCUCAGAUAUUUUACCUUGAGAAAAUUAGAGUGUUUCAGGCAGGCUUUCGCCGGAAUACAUUAGCAUGGAAUAAUGGAAAAGGACUUCAACCUCUUCUGUUGGUCUGAGAGGAUGUAGUAAUGAUUAAUAGGGAUAGUUGGGGGCAUUAGUACUUAACUGUCAGAGGUGAAAUUCUCCGAUUUGUUAAAGACUAACUUAUGCGAAAGCAUUUGCCAAGGAUGUUUUCAUUA
Molecule: ribosomal RNA, 379 nt
Filed under: Leegaardiella sp.
Lineage: Eukaryota; Ciliophora; Spirotrichea; Choreotrichida; Leegaardiellidae
Also listed under: 1 other name
Description: partial small subunit ribosomal RNA
Rfam family: Eukaryotic small subunit ribosomal RNA
Source: RNAcentral